CUCCAGACUCCUACGGGAGGCAGCAGUGAGGAAUAUUGGUCAAUGGGCGGGAGCCUGAACCAGCCAAGUCGCGUGAGGGAAGACGGUCCUAUGGAUUGUAAACCUCUUUAGGCGGGGAGCAAUGCCGGGCACGCGUGCCCGGAGGGAGAGUACCCGCAGAAUAAGCAUCGGCUAACUCCGUGCCAGCAGCCGCGGUAAUACGGGGGGUGCAAGCGUUGUCCGGAAUCAUUGGGCGUAAAGAGUUCGUAGGCGGCACGUAAAGUCUGGUGUUAAAGGCAGAGGCUCAACUUCUGUACGGCACUGGAUACUUGCGAGCUAGAAUGCGGUAGAGGUAAAGGGAAUUCCUGGUGUAGCGGUGAAAUGCUUAGAUAUCAGGAGGAACAUCGGUGGCGUAAGCGCUUUACUGGGCCGUAAUUGACGCUGAGGAACGAAAGCCAGGGUAGCAAAUGGGAUUAGAUACCCCCGUAUCC
This 470-nucleotide ribosomal RNA is filed under the name uncultured bacterium. RNAcentral describes it as "bacterial SSU rRNA". It matches the Rfam family "Bacterial small subunit ribosomal RNA", at positions 329 to 795 of the family's 1533-position model. The record is from RNAcentral.